ACUGGUGCCAGCAGCCGCGGUAAUUCCAGCUCCAAUAGCGUAUAUUAAAGUUGUUGCAGUUAAAAAGCUCGUAGUUGAAUUUCGGGGUUAGUAGGUUGGUCAUGCCUCUGGUAUGUACUGGUCUCACUGAUUCCUCCUUCCUGAUGAACCGUAAUGCCAUUAAUUUGGUGUUGCGGGGAAUUUGGACUGUUACUUUGAAAAAAUUAGAGUGUUUAAAGCAGGCUAACGCUUGAAUACAUUAGCAUGGAAUAAUGAAAUAGGACGUUCGAUCCUAUUUUGUUGGUUUCUAGGAUUGACGUAAUGAUUAAUAGGGAUAGUUGGGGGCAUUAGUAUUCAAUUGUCAGAGGUGAAAUUCUUGGAUUUAUUGAAGACUAACUACUGCGAAAGCAUUUGCCAAGGAUGUUUUCAUUAAUCAAGAACGAAAGUUAGGGGGAUCGAAGACGAUCAGAUACCGUCGUAGUCUUAACCAUAAACUAUGCCGACUAGGGAUCGGAUGAUGUUAAUUUUUUAAUGACUCAUUCGGCGCCUUACG
Molecule: ribosomal RNA, 532 nt
Filed under: uncultured Glomus
Lineage: Eukaryota; Fungi; Glomeromycota; Glomeromycetes; Glomerales; Glomeraceae
Description: SSU rRNA
Rfam family: Eukaryotic small subunit ribosomal RNA
Source: RNAcentral